RNAcentral lists this ribosomal RNA (742 nucleotides) under uncultured bacterium. RNAcentral describes it as "bacterial SSU rRNA". It matches the Rfam family "Bacterial small subunit ribosomal RNA", at positions 8 to 796 of the family's 1533-position model. The record is from RNAcentral.
AGAGUUUGAUCCUGGCUCAGAACGAACGCUGGCGGCAGGCUUAACACAUGCAAGUCGAGCGCUGUAGCAAUACAGAGCGGCGCACGGGAGAGUAAUACAUGGGAACCUACCUUUUGGUUCGGAAUAACGUCGGGAAACUGACGCUAAUACCGGAUACGUCCUUCGGGAGAAAGAUUUAUCGCCGAUAGAUGGGCCCAUGUUGGAUUAGCUAGUUGGUGAGGUAACGGCUCACCAAGGCUACGAUCCAUAGCUGGUCUGAGAGGAUGAUCAGCCUCACUGGGACUGAGACACGGCCCAGACUCCUACGGGAGGCAGCAGUGGGGAAUAUUGGACAAUGGGCGCAAGCCUGAUCCAGCCAUGCCGCGUGAAUGAUGAAGGCCUUCGGGUUGUAAAGUUCUUUUGGCAGGGACGAUGAUGACGGUACCUGCAGAAUAAGCUCCGGCUAACUUCGUGCCAGCAGCCGCGGUAAUACGAAGGGAGCUAGCGUUGUUCGGAAUUACUGGGCGUAAAGGGCGCGUAGGCGGCUUGGCAAGUUGGGUGUGAAAGCCCAGGGCUCAACCCUGGAAUUGCACUCAAGACUGCCUUGCUUGAAUUCGGUAGAGGUUGGUGGAAUUCCCAGUGUAGAGGUGAAAUUCGUAGAGAUUGGGAAGAACACCCGUGGCGAAGGCGGCCAACUGGACCGACAUUGACGCUGAGGCGCGAAAGCGUGGGGAUCAAACAGGAUUAGAUACCCNNGUAGUCC